RNAcentral lists this transfer RNA (71 nucleotides) under Marmota monax (woodchuck). It matches the Rfam family "tRNA". From Rfam's summary of the family: Transfer RNA (tRNA) molecules are approximately 80 nucleotides in length. The record is from Rfam by way of RNAcentral. Lineage: Eukaryota; Metazoa; Chordata; Mammalia; Rodentia; Sciuridae.
GGGGUUGUGGCUCAGUGGCAGAGCACUUGCCUAGCAUGUGUGAGGCAUUGGGUUCAAUUCUCAGCACCUCA